GAGGGUAUAGCUUAACUGGAAGGUGCAUGCUUGACAUGCAUGAGGUCCUGGGUUCAACCCCCCAUACCUCCA
This 72-nucleotide transfer RNA is filed under the name Camelus bactrianus (Bactrian camel). It matches the Rfam family "tRNA". Rfam says of the family: Transfer RNA (tRNA) molecules are approximately 80 nucleotides in length. Their secondary structure includes four short double-helical elements and three loops (D, anti-codon, and T loops). The record is from Rfam by way of RNAcentral. Lineage: Eukaryota; Metazoa; Chordata; Mammalia; Artiodactyla; Camelidae. RNAcentral also lists the same sequence under 2 other names.